AAUACCAGCAAGGGUAUCUUAACUUCAACUACAAAAUGUUCUUCGCCAUCCCAGUUUUGUUUUCAUUGUUUUUGUGUAUUUGCUUUGAUUUUUAGCUGUUUGCUCUUGGACCAACUACUUAUUUAUUCAUAAUUUGAACUCCCCCCCUUCCCACCAUUCCAGGCACCACCCCCUUCCAGACCCCACUCCAACACUCCACUCCACUCCCCUCCUCUUCGCCAACACUCCACGCACAAUUUGUGGGCAGCUGCUGCAUGUGGAAAAAUGGAAAACUGGAAAACGAGUUGCCAACACACACUU
Non-coding RNA from Drosophila melanogaster (fruit fly), 300 nucleotides. The record is from Ensembl. NCBI's taxonomy places the organism in Eukaryota, Metazoa, Arthropoda, Insecta, Diptera, Drosophilidae.